This 487-nucleotide ribosomal RNA is filed under the name Afroagraecia pwania. RNAcentral describes it as "partial 16S ribosomal RNA". The record is from RNAcentral. Lineage: Eukaryota; Metazoa; Arthropoda; Insecta; Orthoptera; Tettigoniidae.
AAGUCGGGCCUGCCCACUGAGUAAAAUCAUGGCCGCGGUACUUAGACCCUGCGAAGGGAGCAUAAGCAUAAUUCUUUUAAUUGGAGGCUGGGAGGAACGGUUAGAGGAAAUAUUAACUGUCUCUUUAUAUAGAGUAGAAGUUUUUUUUAGAGUUAAUAGGCUGAAAUGUUAUUAUAGGACGAGAAGACCAUAUAGAGCUUUGUAUAGAUAUAAGAAAUAUGUAUUUGUGGGUAUUUUUUAUUCCUUUUGUAACUAUAUUUUGGUUGGGGGGCAUAAAGAAAAAAGAAACACCUUAUUUAUAUUUACAUUGAUGUAUGGGUUUUUGAUCCAUUUUCAGAGAUUAAAAGAAAAAAUUACCUUAAGGAUAACAGCGUUUUCACUUGAAAGUUCAUAUCGAAAGAGGAGUUUGCUACCUCUAUGUUGGAUUAAGAAAAUCAUUAAAUGCAGCAGUUAUGUUGAUAAGUCUGUUCGACUUUAUAAUUCUUAC